This 253-nucleotide ribosomal RNA is filed under the name uncultured bacterium. RNAcentral's name for it is "partial 16S ribosomal RNA". It matches the Rfam family "Bacterial small subunit ribosomal RNA", at positions 524 to 776 of the family's 1533-position model. The record is from RNAcentral.
UACGUAGGGUGCAGGCGUUAAUCGGAAUUACUGGGCGUAAAGCGUGCGCAGGCGGUUUGCUAAGACAGGUGUGAAAUCCCCGGGCUUAACCUGGGAACUGCGCUUGUAACUGGCAAGCUAGAGUGUGGCAGAGGGGGGUGGAAUUCCACGUGUAGCAGUGAAAUGCGUAGAGAUGUGGAGGAACACCGAUAGCGAAGGCAGCCCCCUGGGCUAACACUGACGCUCAUGCACGAAAGCGUGGGUAGCAAACAGG